This 564-nucleotide ribosomal RNA is filed under the name Lactobacillus gasseri. Its description in RNAcentral is "bacterial SSU rRNA". It matches the Rfam family "Bacterial small subunit ribosomal RNA", at positions 380 to 935 of the family's 1533-position model. The record is from RNAcentral. Lineage: Bacteria; Bacillati; Bacillota; Bacilli; Lactobacillales; Lactobacillaceae.
AGUCUGAUGGAGCAACGCCGCGUGAGUGAAGAAGGGUUUCGGCUCGUAAAGCUCUGUUGGUAGUGAAGAAAGAUAGAGGCAGUAACUGGCCUUUAUUUGACGGUAAUUACUUAGAAAGUCACGGCUAACUACGUGCCAGCAGCCGCGGUAAUACGUAGGUGGCAAGCGUUGUCCGGAUUUAUUGGGCGUAAAGCGAGUGCAGGCGGUUCAAUAAGUCUGAUGUGAAAGCCUUCGGCUCAACCGGAGAAUUGCAUCAGAAACUGUUGAACUUGAGUGCAGAAGAGGAGAGUGGAACUCCAUGUGUAGCGGUGGAAUGCGUAGAUAUAUGGAAGAACACCAGUGGCGAAGGCGGCUCUCUGGUCUGCAACUGACGCUGAGGCUCGAAAGCAUGGGUAGCGAACAGGAUUAGAUACCCUGGUAGUCCAUGCCGUAAACGAUGAGUGCUAAGUGUUGGGAGGUUUCCGCCUCUCAGUGCUGCAGCUAACGCAUUAAGCACUCCGCCUGGGGAGUACGACCGCAAGGUUGAAACUCAAAGGAAUUGACGGGGGCCCGCACAAGCGGUGG